UGUGUUGCAAAGAUAAGCCAUUAAUCACAGCCUAAUAAAUACUAAGAAAAUUACUCAGUAUGGAUUUGUGGUGGGGGUUUGGCACAGAUGCCACUGCAGCUGGAGAAUAUGGGGAAUUUCAGCAUACAGGAUAAGAAGCCUGCAGAUCAUGAUUCCCUUGUUCCCCUUGGUCAGGUGUCUUAUACUUUUUUGAGUGUCUGUAGUUGCACUGGGACUUACUCACAUAAGGAUGGGCUGCCUUUACAUUUGGCCAUUGUUGGAAUGCAUCACACUGCACUGAUAGCAACUACAACUCAAAGCAGAUUUCUUGACAAAUGCUGGAAAUCUGUGCUAAUUCCUAAAGUUAACAUGCAAAACCAGUGAUACACAAAGCUGAAGAAACAGUAGGCUUAUACGGGAAAGGUUAUUCCUUCAUAUUUAGAAUUGGAGGGAAGGUUACACUACACUGCAUGCUACUUUUAAUCCAUGAAAGCUUUACAUGCAAAAUUAUUUGGAUUAUAAAAAGGAGUUUUCUAAGGGAGUAGGGUUUAACAAAAAAGGAAUAUCUUACCUGUAUGUCUGUGUGGAGCAGCAUUCACAGGAAUUCUCUUUUGCUGUCCCUCCUGUGGCGGUAUCUAUAAGUAAGGCUGGACUUUGAUUGGGCAAAGGUUGAUUUAGAAGAUUAUUUAUUUAACCAAGAUUCACUGAAUAUGUUCAACACCUUGAUAGGCUGCCUUGUCCUUGCUUGCAGAAGUGCUAAUCACAUGCAUGUCUUGGCAGCUUUGAAUUUUGCUCUGCUUAUAAAAACUUAAGUCAAUGAGGUCAUCUGAGGCAAGCCUGAUCUUUACUCUGGGCAAGAAUCUUCUCCAGCUGUAAGAAAUAUCUUAGCAGGAACAGGUUCGGAUUGUGGUGGAUUGACCUGGGCCAGCAGCAUUUGACUGCAGAUCAAGAGGUUACUGGUUCAAAUCUCUACAUGUUAGAUGCCAGAUAAAGGACUGUGAUGGGUUAACCUUGGCUGGCAACCAGAUGCCCACUGAGCUGCUUUUGCUCCCUUCCUGUACAGAGCAGGAGGGAGAAAAUAGGAUGAAAAGGUUUGAAGAAUUCAAGGUCAUCCAGAAGUGGAAGGAUUUCAAGAUCUAUGUCACUGGGGAAGCUAGCAUGAGCUUGAGUGAAACUUGUGUGUGGCAGUAAGCUUCAUGAUGUUUGAGUCCAUAUAGCCAGUGGCAAGAUCUCAAGAAGUUCAGCAGAAGUACUCACUGUGUCCUGAAGAAGAGGAUGAUGGAAUAAGAACCCUGCAUAAUUAUAUUUACUGCCAGUAAGGUGGAAUAAUAAAGUAGCUAAUGGAUGCUUAAAUCAGCAUGGUGAAAGGAGCAGUUCUAGACCACCAAGAGGAUACAGCCCCUGCUUCACAGAUUUGAUGAGGACCAGGCUUUCCCACCCUCUCAUUUACAGAGCUGAAAGCUGGAGUUGGAGCUGUCAGGAUUUGGUUCUAGGAAAACUUUGGAAAGGAAAAUCUAUAUUCUGAGGUGACAAAUGAAGCUCUAUUGCCCCUUAGCACUGGUCUGGAACAGGAGGAUGUUGUGUGCAGAAGAUGACUCAGAUCACAGGGUUCCUCGCCAGGCCUGGAGGCAGCAGCCCUGUACUGGUGUUCCAAAUGGCAGCUUUGGCAAUGCUGGUAUCAGAUCACAGUAUGCUGGAAGUAAUUUAGGCAUCUACCCCAAAUUACAUGGAAGAAGGAGAGACCGUGAAUUUGAAUUGCCUCAUCAAGCAUCAGCAGGAUCAGUCAUCACAAAUGGAGGCUCGCUGGUAUGAAAAACCAAAGAAGCAAAAGGGUUUGCAAAGGACAUGGAAGGUUUGCACCACUCCUGAAACUUAAACCUCAAAAGUCACGUCCUCUCUUGCUUCUGAAAAUUCAGAUUAUCAACCAGACAGUGGCCACUCUCAAUGCAAAACCAAAAUAAAGAACACUGUCCUGACUGCUAUGGGCCUCUUUAUUAGGGUGAAUGUAACAGGUAAGCUCUAUGUGUCCAGGAGCUUUCUAGCAGAGGGAGUUGUGAGAUCACAUCCUUGUCUCUGAAGUGAAAUUUCUGCAUGCUGAAAACAGUUCAUGGAGAUGUAUCCUAUCCUCCUAGGGUGUGAAACUGAAAAUGUUUGCUGCCACGCUGUGACAGGUGGAGUAAGUUUCAUACUCCUCUGUCUUUUCAUCUGUGCAUGCUAAAUGCAAGACUGACAUGUGAUGAAUGUUGGGGAUUUGGUUUAGAUUGGCUGUGGAUCUCUCAGAGCUAAUGGGAAUAGUUUCCCAUGGGGAAACUCUGAGCACCAUUACCACAGCUGAAAGGAAUAGGGUGAAAAAAGUGAUCUGGGAAAAUGUAUGUCAAUCUUGGGUUAGCUGCAGGUCUGUCCCAGUUCACCCAGCAUCUGCUCUAUAGCCAGAGCUUCAUUCACAGGUGGGAAAGUUCUUUUCUCUAAAAUGGAGAUCUGUGUAUUUUCUUAAUAGGGGACCUCUGUGUACGCAAACAGUGCAGCCUUAUAGCCUCUUGGAUUAACUAUAGUGUACAUAGACCUCAGGGAGGAUUGGUGCUUAGAGGGAGUAGGACUUGAGAUAUGGCAGCCACCACUGAGUUGUUUUGUUCUUAUUGAGGUGAUUUAUUUUUCUGUUCCUUCAUUACUCAGGUUAAAAAGGGAUGAAACGUGCAGUGGCAGUGCUCCUGUACAAUAAUUUCUCUACAGGUCUUAACUGAUCAUAUGGUAUGGUGUCUUCUACUUGUGCCAAGUGACUUCAGCUCCAAGCCUCCAGCAGAAGGGAAUAUAUCUCUGGCAUAACUAGCUGAGGUUCUCAUCUGGUAGUUGCAGUGGUAGUGAGCUACUAGAGCUUUUUUAGGAUGGUUCUGAUCAGGGGCAGGCUGAGAAGCCAGCUCGUAUUCCUUCCAAGCUGUUCCCAGCUUUGUUAAGACAUAGGGAUUAUAUCCAUCUUUUCCCUUCCUAAAGUUCUCUCCAACAUAUUUUGAUUAAAAAUAAAAUAAAAAUUCAGUUACUUUCCUGCCACUAAGUUUUAGGUGAAAGAAGAUGCAGUUCCACAGACUUUUAUUUGCAUGUUGGUCAUUAUAUCUGGUGUGAGUGUUGUCAAUACCACAAGGAGGACAAAAGGUGACCCGAAACAGAACAAAGAUCUGAGGAUGGAUUCUGAGCUGGAGAAGAUGUGGACUGUGGUCAUGAUAUCCUGGAUAAUUUUGUAUGCCAAAGAGCUUGUGCCGUGAAAACCCUGUCUGUGGAGUCUGGGCUGCUUUGCUUAAACAAGAUAGUUUUCCUGAGAUACUGUAAGAACAACUUCAUUUUAUCGUGCAUGAUGAAUGUCCGGGAUUCACGUUGUGUUUCAUGGCUCACUUCAAGCUUUCAAGGGACUUAUUUCUGGAAUUUCUGGUACUGGUUCUUUGGGAUUAUUCACAUUUUCCCUGUAGCUCCAUCCAGGCAGAGAAGGAUUUCUUCCUGUCCUAGAACUGAAAUUCUCUCAUAUCUAGUGUCAGUUCUUCCAGUUUUUGCCAUCAUCAAGGCAAUGGAUUUCUCAGUGUUGGUACUCUUUGAAAUGAAGAGACGGUUUCUUUCCAGCUGUACUUUCUGGAACUUGCCUCCCAUAUGGGGAGGUUUUCCCUUCCUACUACAGCUCUCUAUGUAAAGAAGGGUUUCCUGGGUUCUUCUCUCAUCUGAAAUGUCUUCUGAUAUAUUUCUAGUCUAUCCUCUGUGCUCUUCAAUUUGUUCUGAGAGAGCUUGAAGCCCUUAUUCAACUCUGGGCAGUCUGUGCUCAAGUGAGUGAUGCACAGGAAGCAGGAAUGAAGUUAUUGUCAAACUCCUUGUUUUGCACACAGAAAGCAAAACCAGGCAUGUUUUACCCUAACUGUGGGAUUUUUUCAAAGGCUAUUUUGUCUGUAGUCUUUUAACUGUCUUGUGUCCCUCUCCCCUUUUCCAAGUAUUUAUGUAAAUUUGCCUUCUGUGUAAGAGGUUCUCUCCUAGUACUUAAAAUCUGGUAUCAAAUGACAAAGGGAAGAUGGCUGUAUCUAUAUCUGUUUCUGUGGUUACUAAAGCUUGUCUGAUGAGCAUUUCAGACCACUGCCAUGUUUUUCAAGCUUGGACAUGUGUGUAAUGUUUCUGAAUGUCAAAACAGACAUGUAUCUGCUAAAUAAAUAAAUCAAGUGUUCCUUUAUCUCCUCAUCACUUUGCCAGGUACCUGACUGUUUAGCAGCUCGGAAGGGCUGCAAUUGCUGCUGCUCUGGGAGCCUUUCCAUCAAAGGCAGCCUGAUUUGGGAUUCUUGUUGGAAUGAACGUGCAUGUCUCAGCUUACAGAACCAGCUGCUCAAAGGGCAUCCUUGAUGCUGAGAAGCAGUAACAAGCAGGAUAGAAGUCUCGCUAGCUGGGGGAAGGGAAAGAGAGGCAGGAAGAGCAUUGUAUGAUCCUAUGUUUUGGGUUCCACUGAACCAGUUCAGACUGCAGAUAUUUUUAGCACUGUCCUUCAUCCGGUAGUAUGCUGUACAAUUACACAUCAACAUGAUGCUUCUCUUGUAGGUUCGUGUAGCUAUGUUUCCACCUCCUGGCAACUAUAAGGAAUAGCUGAAAGGAGACUAAAGAGAAUCAUGUUUUUAUUUUGGCUAGGCACUAGAAAAUGAAGUAGGAAGAAGCGCUUCUCUUGAGCUUGAAGAGUUUUUUAACUCUUCAAAGUUCAGUGUUCUAUGCAAGGUAUAAACAUAGAAGCUGUUUCCAAAUAGUUUGCUUUGCAGCUACUGUGAAAAUCAGUGCUUGAACUGAAAGGUCAUAAAUACAAGGUACUUGCAGCAGGACUGAAAGUAAUAAGAAACCGGACAGUCAUUUUAUAUUGACGGAGGAAGCAUGAGUGUAUAUCGAUGGUAACUGGGCACAAUAACAGCCCUAGUGAAACUGCAGUCUCUAAAAUACCUAUACAUUCUGCCUAUUAGAGGCAACAAUUGUUACAGUGUUAUGGGGAACACAGUCAAGACUUUAGGUAUU
Molecule: long non-coding RNA, 4995 nt
Organism: Pezoporus occidentalis (night parrot)
Lineage: Eukaryota; Metazoa; Chordata; Aves; Psittaciformes; Psittacidae
Exons: 9
Source: RefSeq, a predicted model, not a curated record